Long non-coding RNA from Grammomys surdaster, 211 nucleotides. RefSeq lists it as uncharacterized. Lineage: Eukaryota; Metazoa; Chordata; Mammalia; Rodentia; Muridae. The transcript is spliced from 2 exons. The record is from RefSeq and is a predicted model, not a curated record.
AAACCCUGACACCUGAAAAGGACUAGACACCCUGUAGAAAAAUAAAAAGGGUUUCUCUGUGUAGCCCUGGCUGUCCUGGAACUCACUCCAGAUGAAGAACUCUUGAGCUACCAUGUUUGCCUGCUGACCACCAUGUUUCUUACCAUGAUAAUAAUGGAUUAAACCUCUGAAACUGUAAGCAAGCACCAAUGAAAUACUUUCCUUUGUAAGA